UCUGCUUCCCUUUUUCCUUUACUGUAUUUCAAUUUUCAUCUACAAAGUAAUUAUUCAUGUGUUUUUCUUCUACAAGGUUGAACUUUAUUUCAUCGCUCCAUUGUACCACUUGAAAUUAGAGGACAAAACCAAGAACAAGCGGGAAUCACGAUUACCAUCAGGGUAUAUGCAUACAGUAACAUAGAAAAGAAGGAGCUAACUCCUUUUCAGGUUGCCAGAAGGUUAUGCUACUACUGUUUUCAGGUUGCAAGAUACUCAAAAGAUGGAGCAUCGAUAUACCAUCCAUGAAAUCACGCCAUUUACUAGAGAUUGGACUUGUAAAAUACAAGUUGUUGACAAAAUCCGUCCAAAAAUUAGCAGAGAUCACCGGGUGAACUUUCAAACAACUAUCGUCCAGGACGAAAACGAAGACCAAAUCUGCAUCAUAACAUAUGGUCCUGAAGUCGCACAUUAUGACAACCUUGUCAAACAUUUCCACACAUACCUUAUCUCGGCAGCUAAAGUUAGGGAACCGUCACGUUUUGCAAUACCCAUGCACAACUUCGAAUGGGUCCUCGAUACCUUCAGUAUUGUCGAAGAAGUUAUAGAUAACAAUGAAGAAGAAUCAAUGUUACCGUUGCCUUCAAGAUUAAACAUGGUGUCCUUUGCCGAUAUCGAGAAACAGAUUCCAGGAGAUGAAUUCGACCUAGUGGCAGUUGUGGCAAAUUGCGGUACCAUGAAAUAUCAAGGCAGCGAAAACAGAAGAUUUCAAGAAGCUAUUCUUAUAGACGACAAGAAAAAGCCUUUUCUGUUUACUAUAUGAGGAGAAUUGGCUGACAAAGAUGGAACUGAACUAGUGCAGCAGUUACAUAGAUACCCUGUUAUUGUUGCAAAACGAAUAGCUGUUUCUAACUUUAAACAAGACGUCCGACUAACAACAAGGUUCAACUCCUCAAUCUUAAUCGAUCCUUUGUACCCGCAGCAGCAAAGUUAAAUGAAUUGGGCAAAGGACAACAAUCAGAUGCUAAUUGAAUACACUCUCAAAAGUACAUCAGCAUCGCCUUCGACACUAAAUGUUGCACCUUUUGAAGAUCAAAUACUUUCUAUUUCAAGCAUUCCUUCACAGUCUACCGUGAGUAUAUUAAAACAUAUCAGUCGGACUUGGCAUUGAUUGUUCUUUUCCUUUUAUAUCGUAUUAAAAAUACCCUAUAGCGAGUUAUUCUACGUUGUAAUUACUAAGUAGUAUCUUUUUAUUAUUUUCUAAACAAGCGCAAAGUUUUUAUGUUGAAGGAGAAAUAUCAUUACCAAGUGAAUUCCAGUUUUUCUUCGUACUUCUAUGCUUUGAAUGCCAACAUCUAACACGAAUCAAGCGCAAAAAGAAAGUUCUCUGUAUCAACUGCAAGCUAGAGAAUGUUGAUUCCAAGAUGUGAAUUUGAAGUUGAUGUCACAGACGGGAGCGGAACAAUAACAGUAGUAGUUCGGACAAACUAGCUGAAACAAUGCUUUCACUGACAGCAGACUAAAUGUAUGAAACUACCAUUGUCCAGGUGUAUAUACUGACAACUCUAGAUUCAUUUUGCAUCACUUCAAAUUAAUUUAAAGUCUUCACUUUACUCAUUUUGUGGUAAAUUUUCCCCCAAAUAAACAAUUAUUACCCAUUGAGCAUAUCAGAGAGAGCCUGCUAGACAAGCUGUUCAAAAUUCAUUUACAAAAAUCACUACUCAGAACACCAGAUAGGCCACCUGGUACCUUUGUCAUUUUAUCUUACACCCAGAAACAGACUGUCUUCGACUUGGCACAAUCUUCAACAUCAGCUACUAUUGGCGAGGGAAGUAAAAGGAAGGUACAAUCCAUCACUUCUGAAGAAGCAGAUCGCAGUCCAUCGACAGAAGAUGGAACCCCAAGAAAGAAACCAAAAGUACAAUGACCAAGUCCUCUACAAAAAUACUCAAGGUGCCUCAUCACAUUUGAAGUGCAACAAAGGUCGCCUCAAUGUUAUUUGAUAGGCUAUAGCAGUUGUAAUACUUGCAUUCAAGGAAGAUUUUCGUUGUGUUGUCUA
Nicotiana tabacum (common tobacco) is the source of this 2038-nucleotide non-coding RNA. Lineage: Eukaryota; Viridiplantae; Streptophyta; Magnoliopsida; Solanales; Solanaceae. The record is from RefSeq and is a predicted model, not a curated record.